AACGGCAUGGGUUACUAUAAAUACCAGUUGUUUGGCGCCAAAUUAAUUUCGAUCGCUUCUCAUCACUGCUCCUGCAAAAAAUCCUCUCGGCGAGUACGCUCUUCGGAUUGGAUUGCUAGAGUUUCUGUUCACAACAGAGGUUUGAGAUCGAACUGGCGCUUGUGCUGCGGAAUUCGUUGGUAACUUCGCAAUGAGUAGACUUCUAGGAUUGUCAGGCAUAAGAAGCCUGGAACAGUUCAAAUCUUUGUCUGGAUCUAGUUCCGGUGCUGCGAACAGGAAGAUUAUCUCAAAUGCUUCGCUUGCAACUCCAGAGUCGGCUUCUUCGGGUAGUUUCGCCAAUCUGAAGCUCACAGCAGAAAAAUUGGUCAGGGAGCAAGCUUCUGCGAGAACUGACCUCGAAUUGGCGAAUUCUAAGCUCAAGAAACUGACAGAGCAAAUGUCUGUACUGGAAGAGAAAUUGCAAAUUGCAUACAAUGAAAACGUGAAGCUUAAAGUGAAGCAGAAAGAAGAUGAGAAGCUCUGGAAAGGGCUUGAAUCAAAGAUCUCAUCAACAAAGACACUGUGUGAUCAGCUCACCGUAACCUUGCAGCAGCUGAAUGUUCAGGUUCAGCAAGCUGAGAAAGAUAAGGCAUAUUUUGAAGAUAAACUGUCAGCAACUUCAGUUACUCUCAGUGAUUUGCAUGAGAAUAUGAAGUCUAUGUCCUUGAAGUUGGACUCCUCUGAACAGACAAUUAGAACUCGUGAGAAGGAACUUAUGGAACUUGGCCUUGAAAAGGGAAACCUGGAGACGGCCUUCAGAAAUGAACAGAACAAAGCUAAUUGUUUGAUAGAGGAGAAAGACUGUGUGUUAAAAAGAUUGGAAGAAGAUGGAGCAGCACACAGAAUUGCUUUAGAAAAUCUGACGACUACAAUGGAAAAAUUGCAACUUGAACUGAGAGUAAAAGAAGAUGACGUGCUUGAACUGAGUCUGUCCAAGGAAAAAUUGGAGAGAGAAAACAAGGUCCUGUUAUCUAGCAGAGAUGAUUUUUCUAACAGAUUGCGACUUACACUAGUGGAGGUCAAGAAUCUUGAAGAUUUUGUGACUAUGCUGGUUGUGAAGUUCAAAGAACUGGAGAGGCAAAGUCUGGCAUUUUCAGACAAAGUCAUUCAAUUAAAUGCUUCAUUCGAUUCAUGUUUGGAGUUGGCUCAGAUGGAGAAAGACAUUGUCUCAAAGUGUGCUCAAAGAAAGUUCGAUCAGAUAAACGACCAGUGUGCUAGUGUUAUAUCUGAGAAAAAUGCUCUACUAAUAGUUAAUCAUGAAUUGAACAUUAAAAUUCUUGAGCUUCAGAAAGAGCAGGAAUUUGCAAUGGUACAGCAUGCUGAAGAAUGUCGCUUAGCAGAAGAGAAAAUUCGGAAAUUGGAGUCUGAAUCGGAAAUGCUUGUUACUAAGCAGAGUGAAAUGCAAGCCUUGAUACUCAAAUUGGAGGAUAACCUUAGGAUUUCUUCAGAGAACUCAAGAAUAUCAGAGGAAAGAGUGCAAGAUUUAUCAAUGAAAUUUUCCGAGUUAGAGCUAAGCAGCAAAGGUCUUAUAGAUGGACUAAAAACACAAAUCCUGAACAAGCAAGAAGAAAGUGAUGUUUUACAGAAGGAGGUUGAGAAAAGAGAAGAAAAUAUACAUUUACUCAAGGAAAGAGUGAAAGAGCUUGAGAAUGCAGUAGAGGAAAAGGAUCAGAUUCAUGUGGAACUCAAGGCAAGAGAGAAACAGAUUGAUAAUCAGAAAGCAGAGGUUAUGGCUUCCCUGGCUGACACUGAAAGUAAGCUUCAAGAGGCCAAAAAGGAAUAUAAUCAAAUGCUAGAAAGCAAACAAUUAGAACUAUCAAAGCAUUUGAAAGAAAUCUCUCAAAGAAAUGAUCAGGCCAUUAACGAUAUACGAAAGAAGUAUGAGGUGGAGAAGCAGGAGACUGUUAAUCUUGAGAAAGAAAAGGCAGAUAAAAUUAUCCAAGAUGUGGAAAAAAGGUGUGAGCAAAAAAUUGAAGAAUUCAAAGAAGAAUCUCGACAACAUUUGCUGCAGGUGCAGGAAGAACAUGCUGCAGCGGUUAGCAACAUUCAUAAGGAACAUGCUAAAAAAGAAAUGAGCCUCAUAUCUAAGCACACUGAAGAACUAAGGCGCACGGAACUUCAUGCUGAAGCUGAGUUAAGAGAGAAAACAAAAAUGCUUAGGUCUGAGCAUGAGGCUCAGUUAAGAGCUUUGAGAUGCGAGCAUGAAGAUGAGUGCAAAAGACUGCAGGAGGAGUUGGAUAUUCAAAAGGCGAAGGAAGAGAGGCAGAGGACUUUACUGCAGUUGCAGUGGAAAGUAAUGGGUGACAAUCCACAAGAGGACCAAGAAGUGACUUCUAAAAAGAACUACUCCAUCUCAUCUUCUAAGAUGAGAAAUAAAGAAAGCAACAAAAGAAUUCAGCAGUCUCUUGACAGAGCAGAAGUUGAUGAAAAGGCAACCCAAACUCCAGUUUCAAACAUGUUGAAAAAGGUCGAGAAUGUGAAUAAUCUGCCUAAGCACAGCAGGAAGGUGACUCACCAUGAAUAUGAAAUUGAAACAUCAAAUGGUAGAACAAUUACAAAGCGGAGAAGGACCAAAAGUACAGUCAUGUUUGGGCAGGACCCAAGGAAGCAAAGGAAGAGAGACACACCAAAGGCAAAGACUCCCAAAAAUGUUAUCCAGGCAAGUGUCCACUAAACCAAUCGUUCAGAAACCUGUUUGCAUUUGCUCUUGGCAUUUUGUUUUCUCUUUAAAUUCUCUGUUUCAGUGAUUGUUCUUGAUUUCGAACCAAAUUCAUGGAUCACAAAAAUGUGGUGUGGAAAACAGAUAAGAAUUGGCAUCUGUUGAUUCACCUUAUAUACUAUGAACAGCUAUGAUCAAGCAAUAUAAAAACUAUAUAUGUCUGCAUUUUUCUACAUGUGCUCAAGCAGUUUGUCCUGCAACACACACAAAAAAGUCCCGGAAUAAUAUUUCAAUUCUAGAAUUCUGUUGGCUGUUGUUAAUGCUUGGUCUUUAAUGUGAUCUAGGGAGCCAAAGGAGGAGUCCCUCCAAAACCUUCCAACAUAGGUGAUUUAUUUACUGAAGGAUCUUUAAAUCCUUAUGCAGAUGAUCCCUAUGCAUUUGAUUAAAGGAUCUGGAAGUAAUUUCCACUGUGAAUGAACACGCCUUCUUGAAGUGAAUAUUAGCUGCACUGCAUAUAUAUUCAUGCAUGAAACUAAUCUCAAACAAACUUAGUAUCUCAAACAUAUUGAUUCUGUCUCAUUAAGUGCCAUAAAUUCUUCUUUUGCUCAUUUGCGGCAACAUUUCAGACUUAACUUUCUUUCUCUGUUUGUUA
Molecule: RNA transcript, 3350 nt
Organism: Salvia miltiorrhiza (redroot sage)
Lineage: Eukaryota; Viridiplantae; Streptophyta; Magnoliopsida; Lamiales; Lamiaceae
Gene name: synaptonemal complex protein 1-like
Exons: 19
Source: RefSeq, a predicted model, not a curated record